UUUAACACCCUAAAAUGGCAACUUCCCUGUUGACCAAUCAUUUAAGGCUAAUGAUCGGUAUUAUAUUCAUGAUACAUCUGUGUCUAUCAUUCUUUUUAUUCUCUCACCCUAGAGGAACAGAGUGAGUUUUUUACCAUCAUUUGACAGAUGAGAAAAAUGAGGCAUAAGGAAGGGAACUGACUUGCCAAAAAUCAUUCAAUUAGUUAAUGACACAGAGACUAUUAAAACUCAAUUCUUUUGACCCCAGGUCCUGCACUCUUUCUGCUCACACCUAAUGGCCUUUGUGUGAGCUGUCUUGCAACCACGCAGUCCCAGGGUGUGCUGACAGAAGAGCUCAGACAGUAGCUCAGACUGCCUCCUCGUGCCAACCCUACAAGGACACUGAAACUCACAAAGCAAUUCCCUUUCCCGUUCUGAUGCCACCUCAGCUCACUCUUCACAGGAAAGGGCAGACUGUGCUAACCGGCACUGCUGCCCUGCGAAGUGAAUGGAAACAUCAUGCAGAGAUAAAGUAGAAAGCAGAAACCUCAUUCCCUUGCCGCCUUGAAGCAGAGAAUACAGCAUCUUUGGAGGUCCUCCUUCCAAGAGUAGGUUCGCCUUCAGAAUAUAAAUAGCAGCCUCCUUCCCAUGACGCUUCUUACUCUCCAGGCAGGCACACCACAUGUGCAGCGGAUACGACACACGACUUGGGCUUCAAUCCUGCGAUCAUAUAUAUUUUUAAUUCAAGUUCCAUGCAAUUUGGUGACUAUUACCUUUAACGGGUAAUUACCUUAUUCAGAGUGCUCUUAACAGCCCUGUCGACAGGAAUGUCAGCUCACUACAAGAGAUGGGCUUGCUGAAAGCAACACAAAAAGAAGCUGAGGCAGGUUUUUCUUUUAACUUGUUUGUUAAAAUUUUAUGAGUAAGUCAUUUUCUCCCUUGUGGGCUUUCCCUUCUAGUUUAUGUGGGAUCACAGCUGCCUGAAUGUAAAUGUGGCUGCCCAGUCUCCCUGUCAUCCACAGCAGCUGUCUCAGAUCCAGAGAGGCUCCCUUGGGUGGGGUGGAGGGGGGUUCCUCACCCACCCAGGAACUGACGGGGCCAUGAGGGGCUGCUGGCUUCGCUGCACCCAUCAUCUUGGUGAGCUAACCACAGACAGGCAGGGUGCUGCUGCAGGAGAGUCAGGGUAGGCCGUGCCCUGAGACGGAGGGAGGACUUUCUGUGCGCGGUUCCCAUCAGCCCUGACUGUCCAUAUUCAUGACAGAGAAAUAACAGCCCCAUCAACAUUGCCCAGAAGGCCGUCACGAUUAGCACCAGGCUGUCAUGAUUCUCCACCACAUAUCAAAAGCGCUCUCCGGUUAGAUAAGUUUGAGAAAUACCACAUAGACUUCACGGCUCUCCUGGAGAAUCACGGCACAUAGCAACACCCAGAAGACUCUGAAAACUGUCUCUUGGUGUUAGGGGUUGAAUUGUGUUCCCCCCUCCCCCAGUAUUCACAUGUUAAAGCCCUAACCCCCAGUACCUCAGAAUGUGAACUUAUCUGGAAAGAGACUUAUUGCAGAUAUAGUUAGUUACUAUGAGGUCACAUUGGAGUCCGGUGGGCCUCUAAUCUCAUCCUUACGAAAAGGGGAAAUCUGGACACAGACACCCACACUGAGAGAACAACAUGGGACCAUGAUGGCGGAGAGCAGUUUGAUGCUUCCACAAGCCAAGGAAUACCAAAGACGGCCAGCAAACCACCAGCAGCUAGGGAAAUUUGGACACAUGACAGACAUACAGGGAGAAGGCCAUAUAAAGGCAACGGCAGAGAUUGGGGUAAUGCUUCUACAAGCCGAGGAACACCAGAGAUGGCCAGCACGCCUCCAGAGGAAAGAAUCUUGGGACACAUCCUUCCUCAUGACCCUCUGAAGGAAACAGCCCUGCCAAACACCUUGAUCCCAGACUUUUAACCUCCAGAACUCUGAGACCUUAAGCCACUCAGUCAGUGCUACUUUGUUAUGGCAGCCCUAGAAAAUAGAUACAGAUCUCAAUUCCUAAAUUUUUAUUUCCACCUCAAAACCUUCUACAAAACUGCCUAAUUGGCAAGGGAGACACAGGCUUCUCAAACUUAUGUGAAGGACUUAUUUAGCCCAAUGCUUAUUCCAGAACAAGUUCUCAGUGAAAGGUAAUGGUGUUCCUCUCACUACUGCUGCUGCUGAAGAUAAGCAUGAUGAUGUUGGUGAGGACACGGAGGAAGAAGGCGGAGAAGCAGGAGAAAAAGCAGGGGAAAAAAAGAGCAUGAAUCCACUGAGCCUGGCACCUCUUUGUGAAACAAAAGGUUGUAAACAAUCUCA
This is a long non-coding RNA of Herpailurus yagouaroundi (jaguarundi), 2309 nucleotides long. RefSeq lists it as uncharacterized. The transcript is spliced from 2 exons. NCBI's taxonomy places the organism in Eukaryota, Metazoa, Chordata, Mammalia, Carnivora, Felidae. The record is from RefSeq and is a predicted model, not a curated record.